UACGUAGGGCGCGAGCGUUAAUCGGAAUUACUGGGCGUAACGCGUGCGCAGGCGGUUUGGUAAGACAGAUGUGAAAUUCCCGGGCUUAACCUGGGAACUGCAUUUGUGACUGCCAGGCUAGAGUGCGGCAGAGGGGAGUGGAAUUCCGCGUGUAGCAGUGAAAUGCGUAGAUAUGGGGAGGAACACCGAUGGCGAAGGCAACUCCCUGGGCCUGCACUGACGCUCAUGCACGAAAGCGUGGGGAGCAAACAGG
This 253-nucleotide ribosomal RNA is filed under the name uncultured bacterium. Its description in RNAcentral is "partial 16S ribosomal RNA". It matches the Rfam family "Bacterial small subunit ribosomal RNA", at positions 524 to 776 of the family's 1533-position model. The record is from RNAcentral.